UACCGUCUAACCUGGGGAGUGCUGCAGAGGCCGGUGACCUUGUCCACCCAGGCUUUUGCUCUGCAGACCCUUUCCGUAAGCGACUGUUUAUGUGGGGAAGUGUGGAUAGUCCUCGACUAGGUGGCUGGUUUGCACUUCAGUUCCACUAGAGGAAAAAUUAUUGUUCGGUUUUCUUUUCCCUUAGAAGUAAGGAGCUAAAAAUUAGUUCGAGCAUACUCGGAGCCCAGUAUCUGGUGCGGUACGCUAUGUGGCUUGUUGCAUUGUGUCCUUUUGUUGUCUAGAAAUGCCACUGGAGACUUUCUGUAAAGCUGGUAAAAUGAACUGUUACAGAUGUUUCUGCUGUGACUGCGAACUGCUCUUACUGAGUAGCUCAAUGGCCCUGACUGGAGAGAUGAGACAACACGGAGAAAAGAGCUGUAGGCAGAGACUUUGUAAAGAGGCUGACCUGGAUAAUAUGAUGUGACUUCUCUUAUGCCAGCUGCUGUGACAGCGGGCUUCUCCUGUAGCAGUACAACUGUUGACCAGUAAGAGAUCUGCGAACAUCAGAGUCUGAGAGAUGGGGAGAAAGAGUUUCAAUUUGAUCGGUAAAAGGCACAGAAUGCUUUCAUCCUUUUGAUGCUGGAAAUGCCUCUCUGGACGUAUGCUGAGCUCUCACUGCUAUGGACUGUGCGGUCUUAAUUACUGCAGGUUCCUGUUCUCACUGGAGAAUUGGAAAUGAUUAUUAAUUAGACCACAGACGUGUUCUCUGAAACCUUUCCCUUUUUUCAGCCUUUAAUUGUAGAUCUUCUCUUUCUGCCUUUGAAUUUACAGUGAUUCUCUGAUGUCGUUCACCUACCCAAAUUCCUUGCAGCUCCUGGGGUAGAGAAAAGCUUCUGUGGCUGAGGUUCAGUGGGAAAAUGAUACUGUGCGUUCCACCUCCUUAAUAAAAGUAACUGCUCUUUAUAUCUUAAAGCGUAGACUUAGUUGAUCCUUUUUCGACAGAAAGUGGCAGGCUGAACUCAGCUGAAUUACUGAACCAUACUUUGGAUAGUUGAAUUUUUUAAAAGAAAAAAAAAAACCAAACCCAAACCCAGGCUUUUUGUCUGUGGGUUUCAUUGGUAUUGCUCCUUAAUUGAGCCACACCUUUAAAUUAUGACGUGGGCGCUUUCUAGAAACAGUGUUCGGUACAUUUUGCACUUUCUCAUGGGACCUCCGGGCUCAUGUUUUUCCAUUGCUGAGUUAAUUACGGGUCCAAGCAGACAGCGUCCCGUGCAUCUGGUGCUCAUUGAUCUGUUUGUGAUAUUCAUUUCAUUUGGAUGCAGAGUUGGGCUUUUGGGGCAGAUGAUGCCCCUCAAGCCAUGAGGCUUGUUUAAACCUUGUACUCUACAUUUUGAAGAUCCAGGAUGGGUGAGGCCUUCGUCUUGUUGCUGUAUUAGGGAAUAGCAUUCAGGAAGUUCCUACAAUAUUCACAUUGAAGUUGCAGUGUUUGAGGAUAUCGGUGUGAUGGUUCUCAGGAAUGAAUCUUGCUCCCAGCAGUCUGUAGCAUGGUAGCGUAGGACCCAAAAAAGUAGGGUGUGAGGGUCAGGGUGGAUAGGAACACUUCCCCCACCAGAGAGAGUAUAUCUAAAGCAGAGAGUCAGAACCCAGAAGUGAUGACCGAUUGCCCCACCGCCAGACACCAUAAACCAGAAGCAAUGAAUUGUAACCCCAGAGGGACUGCCAAUACUCCCACAACCAGACAGAGCAAUCUGCGACAGCUGCAGAAAGCAUCUUUAAGAUCUAUCUCUGAAAACCAAAUAAAAUCACCUCAGAGUUUAGUUAGCAAGGUAUAGGGGUUUGGAACUACUAGGUGAAUACUUUUUCCAUUAAUUUGCCAUAAAUUUUGCUGAAAGUUCAAAUAGGUUUCUUUACUGGUAAUAUAGGAGUAUUAAAUUCUGAUUCACAUUCUUUCAGCAAUCCUAAUGUCCGGAAUUUAUUGGUUAUUUGCUCUAUUCCUUUUCUGUCUUCCAACCCUAAAGGGUAUUGCUUUCUGACUGGCCUAACUCCUGUCUGUAGUUCAAUUUUAAAAGGGUGUGCCCAUUUUGAUCUUGACUGGUUAUCAGUAUCACAUACUUCUGGGUACAUCUGAUUCAGUAUUUGCUCUAAAUAGUUACUGUUGUUUGUUGGUCUUGUGUCAAUUUUCAGUCAUAAUGCUAAAAUCAAUUUGUCUUCAGGUACCCUAAAUUUAAUGUUUCCUUCCCCAAGCUCAAUUGUGGCUUUUAAAUUUUUAAGCAAAUCCCUGCCUAGCAGAGAUUUGGGUGAAUUAGGUAAAUAAAGAAACUGGUGUAUUCCCAUCGUCUCCCUGAUUUUAUAUUUAAGUAGAUUCAGGAAGAACUCAUUUUCUGGCUGGUCAGUGGCUCUUAAUACUUGAAUGUUAUUUUCAUUUUUAGGUAUCAAUGCUUGAUUUAAGACUGAAAGUGUGGCUCCAGUAUCUACUAAAAAUUCAACUCCUUUAUCAUUCCAUGGCUGUAUUUUAACCAGCGGGUCUGCUGCGGUAAGAUCAGGUGGUCCCCCUGGUGGUCAUUGUAAUCUAGAGCGGCUGCAAUAGUUUCUUGUACUUCGUCUGCUAACUACGGGCACUGGCGUUUCCAGUGUCCUUCUUUCUUACAGUAUGCACGUUGAUUCGGCCUCGACUUAAUCUGUGGCUGAUUUGAACCUCCUCUGCCUCUGGUAUUUCUGCCUCUGCCUCACCCACACCCUCACGCCGGUGCUGAUCCAGAGCUGCCAGUAUGACUGCAGCGAGUUCUUUCCUCUUUUCUUGAUCCCUAUUAUUGUACACCCUCUAUGCUUCUCCCAUUAAUGCCUCUAAUCUGUUUACAGGCUUCUUCAGCUUCUGAAGUUUCUGCCCAAUAUCUGGGCUAGAUUGCUCUAGCAUCAGGGAAACUAACCGUUGCUUUCCCAUAUCUGACAGGGGAUCUAGGGUUGCUAAUUUACGCAUCGCUGCUUGGAGCCUGUCCACAAAGUCAGUGGGUGACUUAUGCGGUCCAUGUUUAACUGACCAAUUAACUGCUUUUGGAAUGGCAUUUUCUAAUCCAAAUUUGACUAGUUCCCGGCACUUAGUUAACAUUGUAUAGCUGCCUGCAUCGUUUAGGUCCGACAAAGGUUUUACAAUAGGAAACAGCUGGUUCACUGUACCUUGGUAAGGCUCCACUAGCAAUUUGUCCCUGCAUGUGUGCUCUGGCCGUGUUUGUCACUAACUCUUCUUCUGUUUCUGUUAGGUCUGUCAGCAUUAAAUCAAUGUCACCCCAAUCUGGGUUUUGAUUCCUGACCAUGAACUCCAUCCUUUUUGCUACUUUGCUAAGGUCUCUUCUAUAUUUCCUAACUUCUCCUGGCCAGCUGUUCGGGUCACUAGUAGAAAAGGGGACCUUUACCUGCACAGCUUCUCCUGUGGGACCCACCGCUUGCCUUAAGGGGGCUACCAGUGGCAAAGCUUUCCUGGUUUUACUCUUUGUACAUGCUGUCACCAGGGUCCCUGAACUUGUCCGCUCACCGGGGUCAUCCAUCUCAUCCUCACUACCACUCGGGCUUAAUUGAGGAGGAGGAGCAGCCGGUGGGGAGCAUACAGCUGGCCUGGUAAGUAAGUUUCAGACACCUAUAACACUGUCUUCCUCAUGCUUUUCUGCCUACUUCAAACAUCUCUGCCCUAUGUUACAUACUGAACAACAUCUCUAUUUUCCACCUGAUCUCUCUUUCCACGGCACGGACCAAAGGGUCUUGUGGGGCCAAAUUGAUGCCGCAUUCCUUCUGCCACUCAGGUUUAAUUUAAAAUUCCAUUAGAGAGCUGCUUUUCACCACUUUCCACUUUAUACGAAGGCCACCACUGGAUUACCUGUCUUCAGAUUACCCCUUGGGAUUCCUCCCAGAUUUUUCCAAUGUGCUAAAAUACAUCCCAGCAGACUUUUUAAAAUAACAUUUUUACUUCCUGUGUUAACCCAUUUUAAAUGCUAUCCAAAUUUCCACACUUGUCAUUAUGUAUUAGUACUUCUCCUUUCUUUAUCUUUAUUCCCCAUGGACUACACUUAACACACACUGGGCAUCUCCGAGUCACCUGGCACCACUGUUCUCUUCUACAGUACUGACAAGCAACGUAAACAAAAGGAUUUUUUGUUUACAAAAACAGUUCCACAGAAUACAUGAGGAAUUGGGGUAUGAUAGGACAUAAAAUGAGUUUCCUAAAACACACAAGGGAAACAACUAAUACUCUUACAACACAAAAAAUACGGAAUAACAAAUACCACAGUCAAAACCCAAAAUGCCAAGGUCAAUACCAAAAGUCAUCAGUCAAAAGACUUCUUCUGGGGACUCUAAGGCCUUGCAUCAACUUCAGGAAUUUCACCUGUAAUACAGCACCCUGUGUGGAACGUCUUACAGGAGCUACUUAACCAAGACCUGAAACA
This is a long non-coding RNA of Motacilla alba alba, 4415 nucleotides long. RefSeq lists it as uncharacterized. The transcript has 3 exons. NCBI's taxonomy places the organism in Eukaryota, Metazoa, Chordata, Aves, Passeriformes, Motacillidae. The record is from RefSeq and is a predicted model, not a curated record.